GAUGAACGCUGGCGGUAUGCUUUACACAUGCAAGUCGUACGAAAGUUUUUAACUUUAGUGGCGGACGGGUGAGUAACACGUAAGAAUUUACCUUUAGGAGGGGGAUAACAACUGGAAACGGUUGCUAAUACCCCAUAUGCUUUUAAGUGAAAUGGAUUUUUCCGCCUAGAGAGAAGCUUGCGGCUGAUUAGCUUGUUGGUGAGGUAAUGGCUCACCAAGGCGACGAUCAGUAUCUGGUUUGAGAGGACGAUCAGACACACUGGAACUGAGACACGGUCCAGACUCCUACGGGAGGCAGCAGUGGGGGAAUUUUCCGCAAUGGGCGAAAGCCUGACGGAGCAAUACCGCGUGAAGGAUGACGGCCUAUGGGUUGUAAACUUCUUUUUUCAGGGUAGGAAUCAAUGACGUGUACCUGAAGAAUAAGCAUCGGCUAACUCCGUGCCAGCAGCCGCGGUAAU
This 458-nucleotide ribosomal RNA is filed under the name uncultured bacterium. RNAcentral's name for it is "bacterial SSU rRNA". It matches the Rfam family "Bacterial small subunit ribosomal RNA", at positions 28 to 524 of the family's 1533-position model. The record is from RNAcentral.